UACGUAGGGCGCAAGCGUUGUCCGGAAUUAUUGGGCGUAAAGAGCUCGUAGGCGGUUUGUCGCGUCUGCUGUGAAAACCUAAGGCUCAACCUUGGGCUUGCAGUAGGUACUGGCAGACUAGAGUGCGGUGGGGGUGACUGGAAUUCCUGGUGUAGCGGUGGAAUGCGCAGAUAUCAGGAGGAACACCGAUGGCGAAGGCAGGUCACUGGGCCGCAACUGACGCUGAGGAGCGAAAGCAUGGGGAGCGAACAGG
Molecule: ribosomal RNA, 253 nt
Filed under: uncultured bacterium
Lineage: Bacteria
Description: partial 16S ribosomal RNA
Rfam family: Bacterial small subunit ribosomal RNA
Source: RNAcentral